UGUGUGUGACGCCACGUGUCAUGUGUGUGACACCAUGUGUCAUGUGACUAACCUCACGUGUUGGGAGAGACGCACACAAUCUUCUACAGGCAUGGUAGUUUGGGAACUGGGUGUAGUGAUAAGUCUGUCGCUUGAUUUUUUCUUCUUCUUCUUUGUUUAUCGGAAAUGAUAAUUCAAGACACUUUUUCUCAACCAUCAACGUGCUGAUGUUAAAAAUGCCUUGUGCAUUUAUUUCGCUUUGGCCAAAUCUUUUUGAGAUUCUAUGUGGCUUGAGGAUUACACUUACAGAUGUAAAAGUUUUGUUUUGAUAACUGGUUUAAGUAUCAAAAGAAAACUUAAGAAUGAGAUGUUUAACAGCAUAGUUAAAUAUCCCCCUGUAGAGAUGCUCAUAAAAGGCUUUUCAUCAUUCUGCCCCUCCCCCACCAGCCACUCAUUAUUUUUUUUCCUUCAGCCUACUUUUGGUGCUCAUUAGUGGCCUCUGCUUCUUGAGUAGAUGUAGUUGAGCCCUCAUGUCUUCUGGGGAAAGUUUUUUUGACUUCUCUGGAAGAUAUGCUUUUUUAAAUUACUGUAAGCAGCAAGCGUAUUUGAGAUUGCUUGUAUAGUAUAUCUUACACCCAUAGAUUAUUUAGAAGUGCUUUUGAUUCGUGAGAAUUAGUUUGCAUAUUUUGUCUUCUUUGAUGCAUACAUCAUCCAUUAUUGAUCUUGUUUUGAUUGGUGCGUCAUUGCCGCCUAAACAUGCAUUCCCUUAUUAAUGACUGUGGUCAGACAUGAUAUUUGCAUACUGGUUGAGCCCUACACUAACAGGAAUAUGAAUGAAGCCCAGCCCCUAGCACUCAUCAGAGUGAUGUAAGCAAGCGUAGUUGGUUUUUGGGGGGACAUGCUGUGAUUAUGCAUGCACUGAACUACCUCAUUUUGUAUUUAUUCUUAACGAUUUACCAGCCCCCAGGACUAAAAUUUCAUAUGCUGUCUAAUACGCCAAAGAUAUCAUGAUAUUGCAUAUGACACGGAACGACGAAAGGAAUGACUUUAUUUAGCAGUGAGAGGUCUGACGUUAUUUUGCCCUUUUAUGUCCACCGUCUGCUCAAAAAGACCGGAGAUCUCCCAAGCAGGCACUACUUGGCAGUUGUCCGGACUGCCUUAGACAUUGUCCAACAGAUGGGAAGGGGGCUGUACUCAACAGUCAGAGAUAAUUGGGAUUGUUAUCUUUACAGUGUAGAAUAUUACUAAGUCUCACGUCGCAAAAUUUGUUUUAUCCACUACAUUUUAUGUUUCUUUGAAAUUUUGAGAUAUAUGUAGCAGAGCAUUUCUGUAAUUUGAAGACAAAACUGAGAUACUACAAGUGGGUCAAGGUGAGGGAAAGAUGAUUUGACAAAAAUGGGAAAAUUGUUAGAUUUUUUAUGCCAAUGUCUUGGCACAUUGGGCUAGUCAAUUAUACUCUGUAGUUUGCCGAUUUUGUUUUUUAACUUCUUUCAAAUCCUUUUACAUAGGGGCUUUUGAAAGACACCACAAGGUUAUUUGUGUAGGGGAUGGAGAGAUAAAAUGGAUGAAAGUUUCAUGUAGAAGAUAUUCAUAUAAUGUACUUGCCUUGUUCAAAAUGGCUUGAGGAUAAAAAUAAUUUUGACUAGGUAAGGUAUCCAUCAAUUUUGGUAGCAUUUGAAAGCUUAUCAAGGAGGUGGUUGCUAGCGUUAACGUAGAGUUUUUAAAACAUUGUCUUUCUUAUACUUUAGAGAAUUCAGUCUUGUUUAUAUUCAUUUUAAAAAAUACAAAGAAUCAGAGUUCGUUUAUCAUUUUUACCUGUGUAUAGAACUCGUUGAAACUUUUUUUAGGUUGUGGCAAGCUGCCAAAUACAUGCUUCUCACCAAUUUUAUCUUUGCAUUCGUUUUGUGUGUGUGUGUUUGUGUGUGCGUGUGUUGCAUUGCCCGGGAGUAGGAGGUUAGUAUUAGUCAGUAAGUGUUACUAGUUUUUGUCACCUUGUACCCGGAAGAAAAGGACGUUGAAAAGCCAACAAGUUUUCUAGCCUUUUCUAACAUGCUUUGGUGAAGGCAGAAUGUGCGGCGGGCUUCAAAAUAUGGUAGUUGUGGUUCGAAACUCAAGAUUAACAGUCUAUUGCCAUGUUGAUGGAGAUUUGAAAUAUUCUAGCAUUAAUUUUGUCUUUCAGAAUUGAAGCAAAGGUUGGAAUGUGAAAUCUGUAAAUGUUCAGUAAUUAGUCAAGAGAGUCAUAACAAGCGAUGUACGCCUAUCCACUUUUAUUAUAUAAUUAUAUAAUGAUGGUGUAAAUUUUAUAUGUUAUCCAAGUAAAUACAGCUCUUUUCCUCUGUCAGAGUAAUAUUAUUUUAAAAAAACAACUGCGAAUCAAGCUGGACGGAAAUGAAAUCCGCUCUGCUGUAGGAAUCUUUGUUUAGCGUAAGAAAGGUUUGUUGAGUAUCCGUACAUCCUGCCUUCACUUGGAUGUGCUUGCUGUGCAUUGUGCACUACGGUCAGGGUCCCCUGUCCUCCGUACUGUAGUAGACAACAGACAUACCUAUCUGUCUGUCCCCUUUUGCUCAUCAGUAACAUUUUGUUUAUUUUUUUGCUUAUCUAACAUUUGUCUGUAUGUAUUGUACAAUUUCUAGCAUUGUGUUUUAAUUUUAAAAUUUUUGUGUCCUAGAUUUUUGUUUUCUUCUGUUUCUGAAGUAAUAAGUAACAGUGGGAGGUACGGUACAUACAUUUUAUAGAGUUUGUUUGUAGGGGGAAACAAAUGCAGUUUAGCAUUAAUAAGGUAAGAGGGUUGGAACAACUGACUGGAAUGUCAUACUUGGGGAAAGCUGAGAACGCAUUGAGUAGAAAAAACAGGUUGCAAAAUCUGCAGUGGUGCGUCUACGGUCAACGGUCAGCCAGACUGAGGGAUAGGUGAAGGUGAAGGAGAUGAAGGAUAGGAUCAUGGUCUGGGCUCUUCUCUAAUGAUUUGAGAAUUUUUGUGAGAAAAGAAUGUUCUGUCAAUGAUUUAGGCAGUCACUAGUGCUGUGUAUUGUAUGACUUUUGAUCAGAAACAGAUUUGCAGACACCCAAAAGGGGGAUGGAAAUCAACUUUAGUUGUAGUAAAAAAAAAGUUUGAUAGGUGAGAUCAAUUUGGGGGGGGAGGGGGGGGGGAAUGGUGAGGGAGAGGGGGAUUUUUGAGUUACAGUACUGUAGUUUUGCAUGCUAUGUGUGUAUGAAUAAUGUGUCUUUUAAUGAUGGGUCAUUUUCAUCACUCACUCCCUCUAUGUGACAGAAUGUUUUUAACAAGAAAAUGUGUUGUGUCAUUAUGGUGAAUGGACCUAUAUUCCCAACAUUCUUCAUAAAGUUACUGUAAAUGUGCUAACAUUGUAUUGUUGCUGUAGUUCUGUAAUCUGCACUUCACUGUGGUGAUGGGGGAAAUUGACUACUUGUGUUUUGGUGGCUUCUUGAUAAUGGAAAGAUACCCUGUAAUGAGCUCUCCUUUUCUUAAGCUUGACUGGGCAGGUGAUUCAUCCGCCAGUGUGUGUGCUCUGUGGCCGCCUGUUACUGACAUGUGGUUGACGGGUGCUCUGGUGUGGUUUGCUCCUUCUUUCCUUUCAAACAUCUAUCUUCUUUAUCAUCUUUAUCUCUCCUCCUUUACUUUGUAUGUAACUCUAGUUUGUAAUGCUUCUAAUUUUCGACACUUACAUGACCUAUUCGUGUAGCAAGUGCCGUAAAACCCAUCACUAAAACUAAACAGUUUCUGCCCUGUAUUCCUUGGACUAGCCCGUGUUGGUGGUAAAGUUAUUAACGGAAGAAUUCUUGAUUGUCAUAUACUUGGCUUGGAUUCCUUGCAAGACAAAAUAAGUUAUGUUCAAGGAAAAUAAUUGGUGUUUUGAUUCCUCUUAAAAAUUGGAUGCAUUUCUUCAAGUUUUGAGACUGAGAUAUUGUCAUUGAGUUGUCAUUGAGUCUAUAUUCCUUGGUCCAUAGGAGCAACUUAAGCAUCCAUGAGUUACAUUCUUGUCUGAUCUUCUUUCGCUUUUACGAGAGUACUGUAAACAGUUGUUGUAACGUCAGAGGAACCUUUAUAAUAAUUAUUAUUAUCAUUACUCUCUGUCUUCUGUUCUUGUUAUGCACGUAACCAUAACCUUUGAUGAUUUGUUCAUAAAAUGUCAUCGGGUCAAGCUGGUAGCUGACCUUCCCCUGUCCUCGUAUGUCUUGCGUUAUGUGGCAUGCGUAACAUUUCCCCCUUCCUGCAGUUUGUCCAUUGUGGAGGUAUAGAAUGAGGUACAUGUUUGUUUGACAAAUUUUGCUGUCUGCUCCAUUUGCAUGUUACAGUCUUAUUAUCAACCGCCCCCAGGCCUGAGAAUUUAAAAAGUUAUUUUCUGUGGAAGUUUCAUUCAUUGCAUGGUGGUAAUUUUCAUUUUGCUGUAUUUUCAAACUCAUUUUCAGAAUGUUCCCUUCUUCUCUUCUGACGCUCAGUUUGAUAGAGGUGUUUGUAGUCAAAUGUCUUCUCUGGACUGGUCUCUCUUUUUGGGUGUUGACCUUAAGUUACAGUUCAAAUAAUACUUCUUUCGGACAACGUUUGUGAGAAACAAAUCGUUAUUUUUGUCUAGUGCUUAGAAACUAGGAAGAUCGACUGGAAGCUUUCACAUUUUCCUAUCUCACCAGUCUGUUGAAUUUAGUAUCGUACAGAUUCACUACCAUUGUAUAUUAGACCUACAUGUACAUAAGUUUUGCGUGUUUCUGUUCUCUGAGAAAACUUGCUACUCUGGACUUUCUUUCAUCAUUUUGACUUGCUAUCUUUCCCGAGGCUUUGCUCUUUUUGGAUGUAAACAUUCAGCCAAUAUCCCACACUCCUAUUGUAUUGUGUGAUCUGUUGUCCUUGAGUAAUUUAUGAUUAGUUUUAUUUCAGAAUACAAUAAGAAAUUAAUUCUCUUCAUUAUCAUACAUGUUGUGAUAUCACUUUUCUAGUUCAAGUCACCCCGUAGAUUCAGUAUCUUGAAGCUUCCCAUUUAUCCAUUUAUUUCUGUCGUAUAACGGCUAACUCUGCAUUUUACUUUGAUGUUAAUUUUUUUUUUUUUUUCAUUUUCAAUGUUGAGUCAAUUCUGUUUUUUAGCAACAUGCUGGUCUCAAUAAGUGUCUGUAUGACUUACAAUAACCCAUUCAUCUUUAGAUGAUUUAUUUAUUUAUUUACCGUUAUUUGCCAUUUUUAUAGCUUGGUCCAGGGAGCAAUUGAACUAUCUACAUGUACGCCUAAUCAUCAGAUGCUCUAUCCUUUUUUUUCAUACUGGCUUGUAGUCUUCUGUACAGUUAACAGACUCUUUGUGUUAUGCUGUGAUCGUAUGAAAUUUUUUUUUUUGGUUGUUUUUUUCACUUCCCUAAGCUGUCCUACGAACAGGACUGCUUAUCUUUCGUCUGUAACUUUUAUUUGAAAUUUUGCUUGUUAAGCUUGAGAUUGUUUGCCAUUGAUAAAUAUUUUAGGAAUGAUAAUAUGUCUCCUGUUACACUUACACCUGAACAAAUAGAAAGUCUAAAGGUGAAAUCUUACUUACCCCUGUUUUGAUGUAGGCUACCUGAAGCUUUUCUCAUCAUUGUGUGUGAUAAGAUAAGAUUAAGAUUUACAUCAGUCUCCUCAUAAUGUUCCUUCAAGAGCCCUCCCAGUAUGACUAUGUGCUUACAUGAACCAGCUAUGUUGAAAGUUAUUUAUAUUUAGCAUAGUUUGGUAUGACU
RNAcentral lists this long non-coding RNA (5688 nucleotides) under Aplysia californica (California sea hare). RNAcentral describes it as "uncharacterized LOC118477553". The record is from RNAcentral. Lineage: Eukaryota; Metazoa; Mollusca; Gastropoda; Aplysiida; Aplysiidae.